AUUUAUUUAUUUAUUUUUUACAUCUUUAUUGCAGUAUAAUUGCUUUACAAUGGUGUGUUAGUUUCUGCUUUAUAACAAAGUGAAUCAGUUAUACAUAUACAUAUGUUCCCAUAUCUCUUCCCUCUGCGUCUCCCUCCCUCCCACCCUCCCUAUCCCACCCCUCUAGGUGGUCACAGAGCACCGAGCUGAUCUCCCUGUGCUAUGCGGCUGCUUCCCACUAGCUAUCUACCUUACGUUUGGUAGUGUAUAUAUGUCCAUGCCACUCUCUCACUUUGUCACAGCUUACCCUUCCCCCUCCCCGUGUCCUCAAGUCCGUUCUCUAGUAGGUCUGUGUCUUUAUUCCCGUCUUACCCUUAGGUUCUUCGUGACAUUUUUUUUUUCUUAGAUUCCAUAUAUAUGUGUUAUCAUACGGUAUUUGUCUUUCUCUUUCAGACUUACUUCACUCUGUAUGACAGACUCUAGGUCCAUCCACCUCACUACAAAUAACUCAGUUUCGUUUCUUUUUAUGGCUGAGGAAUAUUCCAUUGUAUAUAUGUGCCACAUCUUCUUUAUCCAUUCAUCUGAUGAUGGACACUUAGGUUGCUUCCAUCUCCUGGCUAUUGUAAAUAGAGCUGCAAUGAACAUUUUGGUACAUGACUCUUUCUGAAUUAUGGUUUUCUCAGGGUAUAUGCCCAGUAGUGGGGUUGCUGGGUCAUAUGGUAGUUCUAUUUGUAGUUUUUUAAGGAACCUCCAUACUGUUCUCCAUACUGUCUGUACCAAUUCACAUUCCCACCAGCAGUGCAAGAGGGUUCCCUUUUCUCCACACCCUCUCCAAACAGAGGAUUAAUCUCCAAAAUUUACAAGCAGCUCAUGCAGCUCAAUAACAAAAAAACAAACAACCCAAUCCAAAAAUGGGCAGAAGACCUAAAUAGACAUUUCUCCAAAGAAGAUAUACAGACUGCCAACAAACCCAUGAAAGAAUGCUCAACAUCAUUAAUCAUUAGAGAAAUGCAAAUCAAAACUACAAUGAGACGCCUCAUCUCUUAAUUAAGGGUUUCAGGCACUCUUCUCACCCUGUCAUAGCCCACGAUGUAGGGAAGCCUGCUGUGCCCUCUCCAAAUCUAUAGAUUCUCUUUCUAGCUGUGUCUGAUGCUUCUCUUUCCCUGGGUCUCUGCAUCCCAGCUCUCCGCUCUCCUUCCUUGGGGCCUUUGAAGGGAUGCUUCUUUCUUCUGGAGCUUAUCCAAACCCGUGCUCAGGUAGGGGCAUCAACUCAAGUAGUUGUGCUCUCCUGUGGCUCUGGGACCUGAGUGGAGGGCCCUUCAGGUGGCCCAGCAAACCUGCUAACAUCCUGGCCGGUUCCAGCACCUGAACCCUGUCUUCUGCAGCUCCAAACCACGCUGGGUUGCAACACACCUCCACAGCCACAUGGGGCCCGCCAGUCAAGACACUAAGAGCUGCCACCACAGCCCAUCUAACUAGCUCUUCGUCUUGCCCGUAGAGCCCACUGCCUCCCUGGAGCCCCCUCCUGGAGUGGUACUCAGCACACCUUAGACCCCAAGUGAUAUUCAGAGUAGAGAGUACAGCAGUCCAGUAUCUUUAUUGCAAGCCCAGGAUGUCCGGAAGAAAGAGGGAAGAGAGAAUUGAAUCGAGCAAGGAACCAGAGCCUGUGCCAUCAACAUCUGGGGAGAGUGAAAUUGCAGCUUGUCCUCUGUCUCUCUUUUUUUUUUUUAAUUUUAUUGGAAAUACAAUUCUGUUUUUUUUAAAUUAA
Long non-coding RNA from Orcinus orca (killer whale), 1747 nucleotides. RefSeq lists it as uncharacterized. The record is from RefSeq and is a predicted model, not a curated record. The transcript is spliced from 2 exons. NCBI's taxonomy places the organism in Eukaryota, Metazoa, Chordata, Mammalia, Artiodactyla, Delphinidae.